Molecule: ribosomal RNA, 449 nt
Filed under: uncultured bacterium
Lineage: Bacteria
Description: partial 16S ribosomal RNA
Rfam family: Bacterial small subunit ribosomal RNA
Source: RNAcentral
AACGAACGCUGGCGGCAUGCCUAACACAUGCAAGUCGAACGAAGGCUUCGGCCUUAGUGGCGCACGGGUGCGUAACGCGUGGGAAUCUGCCCCUCGGUUCGGAAUAACAGUUAGAAAUGACUGCUAAUACCGGAUGAUGACUUCGGUCCAAAGAUUUAUCGCCGAGGGAUGAGCCCGCGUAAGAUUAGGUAGUUGGUGGGGUAAAGGCCUACCAAGGCGACGAUCAGUAGCUGGUCUGAGAGGACGAUCAGCCACACUGGGACUGAGACACGGCCCAGACUCCUACGGGAGGCAGCAGUGGGGAAUAUUGGACAAUGGGCGAAAGCCUGAUCCAGCAAUGCCGCGUGAGUGAUGAAGGCCUUAGGGUUGUAAAGCUCUUUUACCAGGGAUGAUAAUGACAGUACCUGGAGAAUAAGCUCCGGCUAACUCCGUGCCAGCAGCCGCCGUAA